UAGUGUCGCACCCAGUGUGACUGUCCCAGCCCUGACUGCAACAGAGUGCCCUAAUUACCCAAAAGCUACUCCCCAGGUGGUGUUUAGCUGAUGGAUCCUGUCACCCAUGCAGAUUCUUCUCUCUCUUGCCAAUUAUUUCAUGAGGAUGACAUCGACUUGCUGAGGGAAAAUGGUCCCCUGGAAGCGGAUUGAGGGGAGCAGUGGAAGUUCCCUCCCUGUCCCCUCCUUUGCUUAAAUCACCUGGGUGUCAGGUGAGAUGAAGUCCCCAUGAAAAGUUUCUCGUUGCCAUGGAAACGACGGUUCUGCUUUACCGGAGGCCGACUUGAAGCAAGUCUUUCUGACCCAUCUACAGAAAAAGAGAGAUUAAUUCUCUCCCUGGUCCCCCUCUUCCUUCCCUUUCCUCUCUCCUUUCUCUGCCCCUCCAUAUACCCUUGUAUAACCACAGGUAAGUAUAUAAAAUGUUUUGUGGGUACCAUCAUUGAUGGUAACUGCCAGAUAUUUCCAGCAUUCGCCUCCAUCGCCUUUGGUAGGUAAGUGGGGUCAUAUGAGUUUGCUGACAAGUCCUAUUGGUCACUUCUGAGUUGGGCUUUUAUUUGCCACCAAGUUAGAGCACUCUCCCCCUCUGCAUGUGACCUGCAAGGUCCAAGAAGGCAGUUGCUCUAUCACCCUGGUGACUACCUAGAGCUGACUGCCACUCACGACAGUGGGCACAAGCCUCCGCAAGGGUGGUUGGGUUGUCCCAAACCCACAGGGACAGGGCUAUUUGUUAAUUCGAUAAAGCGCCUUCACUGGCUAACACAUGUUUAGAAAGCCAGCUGCUGGGUGUGCCUGUUCUUCCUCCAUGGUAAACUGAGGAGGUAGGCACUGUUGUCCUGCCCACUUUGCGUUUAAAAAGCCCCAGCUGAAAGAACGGAAUUAAUUUAUCAGAGAACUCGGCAGAUGGCUGCCAGGUUUGUCUUCCCCACCUUUUAACCCGAGACCUUAACCUGAACACUCACCUCUGUGAGGCUUUGUGGGGCCACAGGAAAAGUAACACUUGCCACAGAUGCUUGCAAGCGAGAGUUUGCUUCAGCUUGUUGGCACCUCACAGCACGACAGGACUUUCUGCUCAUCCUCAAGAUCCACAUGAUUCAAAGGGAUGCAGUGGGGUUUGACUGUUUGUUUCUACAGCUCUAUUUUUAAGAAUGUGUCGUGUGUCUGUUGGGGGGAGGAGGAUUGUACAUGGGAGUGCAGAUGCCUUCAGAGACCUGAGGAAGAUCCCCUGGAAUUGACACUGCAGGCAGCGGUGAGCCACCUGACAUGGAAGCUGGGAACCAAACUUGGAUCCUUUGGAGUAGCAGCAUAGGCUCAUAACUGCUGAGCCAUCUCUCCAGCCCCAGGGAAUUUGAUUUCUGACAAGUCAUUAUAAUUUGAUGGUUGACAUUUCAUCAUUUUCUAGAAAACUAUGAUCUGGCAAAUAUAAACUCUCCUCACAGCAAGCAGCCCUCAGUAAGUUAGUUUUAUUAACC
This 1508-nucleotide long non-coding RNA is filed under the name Mus musculus (house mouse). Its description in RNAcentral is "long non-coding RNA chr14:48878585-48880093". Lineage: Eukaryota; Metazoa; Chordata; Mammalia; Rodentia; Muridae. The record is from RNAcentral.